This 572-nucleotide long non-coding RNA is filed under the name Junco hyemalis (dark-eyed junco). Its description in RNAcentral is "lncRNA (ENSJHYG00000001759.1)". Lineage: Eukaryota; Metazoa; Chordata; Aves; Passeriformes; Passerellidae. The record is from RNAcentral.
UUUUUAGCAUGGGAAUAACCUGUUCCAGAUACCUUGUUGUACCUCUCACACCACACACCGAGCUUUUGCUAUCAGUGGCAGGCCUGGGAGACAGAAGGGUGUUCCCCAAUACCUCAGAAAGUGAGCUGAAAGGUUGUAAUGAAUGAACCAGUGCAGCAGUGACACUGUGCAUCCCUGGCAGCUGCCUUUUGGUGUAGGCUAAAGCAACUGAAGUGUCUGCUUUCACACUCAGGUGCUUUGAAGACAGACACUACAGAGCAUUCGCUCUCAGCUUUGGAGACAUGAACUGUCCUUUUGCUGGACAAAGUGAGCUUUGUUGCAUAAAACUGUGGUUUGGAACUAACAUUUACUCUGGAGCAAAGAAUCCAUUGAAAGAGUUUGAAAAACUCCAGUCAAUAAGACACUUUUCUUUGUGUACCAGAGAGACAAGAAAUCACACCAUUUAAAAGAAAGAGGCAGCAAGGAUUCUCCCUCUUGCAACAACUCUUCAGCCACAGGAGUUUCUGUAAGUGCUGUUUCACUUCUCCCCUUAGCUUCCGAGCACUGUCCUACAGUUCAGACUGUCACUAUCA